AUGAUCCCCCUCGCCACACUGAAGGAAAAGUCCUCUGGAUUCCUUGUCGAAAACAGCUGUGCUUUCGGUGUCGAGUUUAUCAAAGUUACUGCUGCUAAAACUAAUGAUGCGACAGAGAAGCUGUUUGUUCAGAAGAAGAUAAACAAAGUCUCGAGUAUUCCAGAAGUCUACACCUGGGACAUCGAGGACUUCUUUGCGCUCAAAAGCCCGAGCCACUCUCCAGAUUUUGACCUCCAUGGACACAAAUGGUUCAUCACCAUCGAUCCAUCUGGAUUCGAUAAGAAUGGAAACUUUAUCUCCUUGUCCUUGACCAUGAAGGUGACGGACACACUCCAUGAGAACUCCGCGAACCUGGUAGAAUUGGACAUACGCAUCAAAAACCAGGGAAGUGGCAAGGACAAUGUACAAAAAGGCCGGUGCGAGUUCUCAAAGAAUGCUAAUAGAUGGGGAUGGGGCAAUUUCAUAUCACCGGAAGAUUUCAAGGACUCUUCAAAUGGUUAUCUCGUGGAAACGAAAUGCUGCAUUGAAGCUAAGGUUGCCGUUAUUGGUGCCUCCAAAAUGGAGUAG
Molecule: ribosomal RNA, 567 nt
Filed under: Triticum aestivum (bread wheat)
Lineage: Eukaryota; Viridiplantae; Streptophyta; Magnoliopsida; Poales; Poaceae
Description: partial small subunit ribosomal RNA
Source: RNAcentral